GGCUCUCUAGUGUAGCGGGCACAUCCAAACCUUGAUUUAAUAUUGAUGUGAGGGAGGUUAUAGGUUCGAGUCCUAUGAGAGUUG
Molecule: non-coding RNA, 84 nt
Organism: Hymenopellis radicata
Lineage: Eukaryota; Fungi; Basidiomycota; Agaricomycetes; Agaricales; Physalacriaceae
Source: the annotation of a GenBank genome assembly